AUUGAACGCUGGCGGAAUGCUUUACACAUGCAAGUCGAACGGCAGCACGGACUUCGGUCUGGUGGCGAGUGGCGAACAGGUGAGUAAUGUAUCGGAACGUGCCCAGUCGUGGGGGAUAACGUAGUGAAAAUUACGCUAAUACCGCAUACGAUCUAUGGAUGAAAGCGGGGGAUCGCAAGACCUCGCGCGAUUGGAGGGGCCGAUAUCAGAUUAGGUAGUUGGUGGGGUAAAGGCCCACCAAGCCAACGAUCUGUAGCUGGUCUGAGAGGACGACCAGCCACACUGGAACUGAGACACGGUCAGACUCCUACGGGAGGCAGCAGUGGGGAAUUUUGGACAAUGGGCGAAAGCCUGAUCCAGCCAUUCCGCGUGCAGGAUGAAGGCCCUCGGGUUGUAAACUGCUUUUGUACAGAACGAAAAGGUUUCUACUAAUACUAGGAGCUCAUGACGGUACUGUAAGAAUAAGCACCGGCUAACUACGUGCCAGCCGCCGCGGUAA
RNAcentral lists this ribosomal RNA (499 nucleotides) under uncultured bacterium. RNAcentral describes it as "partial 16S ribosomal RNA". It matches the Rfam family "Bacterial small subunit ribosomal RNA", at positions 30 to 523 of the family's 1533-position model. The record is from RNAcentral.